AUUGAACGCUGGCGGCAUGCCUUACACAUGCAAGUCGAACGGUAACAGGUCUUCGGAUGCUGACGAGUGGCGCACGGGUGAGUAAUACAUCGGAACGUGCCCAGACGUGGGGGAUAACGAGGCGAAAGCUUUGCUAAUACCGCAUACGAUCUAAGGAUGAAAGCAGGGGACCGCAAGGCCUUGCGCGUUUGGAGCGGCCGAUGGCAGAUUAGGUAGUUGGUGGGAUAAAAGCUUACCAAGCCGACGAUCUGUAGCUGGUCUGAGAGGACGACCAGCCACACUGGGACUGAGACACGGCCCAGACUCCUACGGGAGGCAGCAGUGGGGAAUUUUGGACAAUGGGCGAAAGCCUGAUCCAGCAAUGCCGCGUGCAGGAUGAAGGCCUUCGGGUUGUAAACUGCUUUUGUACGGAACGAAAAGGCUCUGGCUAAUACCUGGGGCACAUGACGGUACCGUAAGAAUAAGCACCGGCUAACUACGU
This 481-nucleotide ribosomal RNA is filed under the name uncultured bacterium. Its description in RNAcentral is "partial 16S ribosomal RNA". It matches the Rfam family "Bacterial small subunit ribosomal RNA", at positions 30 to 506 of the family's 1533-position model. The record is from RNAcentral.